Molecule: long non-coding RNA, 2195 nt
Filed under: Homo sapiens (human)
Lineage: Eukaryota; Metazoa; Chordata; Mammalia; Primates; Hominidae
Description: HSALNT0071360
Source: RNAcentral
UGCGAUGUGUGUGGUGUGUGUGUAGAGUAUGUAUGUUUUGGGUUUGUGUAUGUGGAGUGUAUGUGUGGAUUGUGUGCCUGUGUGUAUGGGGUGUGUGUGGCGUGUGUGUAGAGUGUAUGUUGGGAUGUGUGUGUGGAGCGUGUGUGUGCACGUGUGUGUAUGUUUGUGUGUGUGUGUAGUAUGUGUGUAGUUUGUGUGUGUGUAUUUUUGGAUGUGUGUGUAUGGGUGUGUGUGUAAUGUGUGUGUAGUUUGCGCAUGUGUGUGUUUAUUUGGGUGUGUGUGUGUGGAGUGUGUGUGCAUGUUUGGGUGUGUGUCUAUUGUGUGCAUGUGUAUGUAUAUUGGGGUGUGUGUGUGUGGAGUGUGUGUGUACGUGUAUGUUUGGGUGUGUGUGGAGUGUGUGUGCGCGUGUGUGUGUAUGUUUGGGGUAUGUGUGUGUAGCGUGUCUGUGUGUGUGUUUGGAUGGGGAACGUUAUAAAGAGCACCAUUCUCAAAGCGCAGGGAAUUCGCGAGCCCUGGGGAUCGCUGGUCUACUUCCUAAGCAGCAAGGAAUGUUAUGCAUUUCAGCGCUUGCUAAGUCAGUGCGUCCUCAGAGAGGGCUUGCAGGCUCCAGGGAGGCCUGCAUAAGGAGUGAGGCCUGGGCCAAGCCCAACAGAAAGUGUCAAAUAACAGGCCUGCCCCUUCCCCACCCUCCACCCCCAGAUUUGGGCUGAAUCAAAGGGCCAUUCAAGCCCCUCCCUUUCACAGAUCCACAUUGUAUUUUCACAAAUACAUGUGAGAUUUUCCACGAGAUUCUGCAAGAAUUUCCCUGUGAGUCCUUUCUUGAGUUCCAAAGUUGGGUAAUGAUGAAACAGAAGAGUUCCCUGACCCCUCUCACAGGACGUGAAACAAGGGUGUGGCUUGUCUGUUAGAUUGCUGACACCACUCAAACCCCUUACAGGAUGGAAAGCAUGCAGAUGGGCAGGUGCAGGAGUCCAAGUGGGCACGUGUUACAAUGUGCUCUUUUAGCCGUCUGCGAAUGGCUUGAGUGUUAGCGAGCAAGGGCAGAGGGCCAGUGUGACAGCUUUAUGUAUCCCAAGCUCUUGUCCAGCAUCCUGGAAGAACUGGGUCACACAUGCACUUGAAGGAUAAAUGUGGGGGUCUUACUGAAUGGCGGAGGUGGCUCUCAGCAGGAUGGAUGGAGAACCUGAAGGGAGGACGGAGUAGGAAGAUGGGCUUCUCCUGGAGUUUGGCCUUCCGGCAGCUGAACCGCCCCGGGCUAAACUCUUAGUGUUGAGACAUUCCUCCUCUUCUCUCUUUCUGCCGCAGCAUUUUGACAUUCCUCUGCUUGUCUCCUUGUCUGCCCAUCUGCUUCUGGAACCUGGGGGUUUGGGGUUUAUAUGGGUACAGGAUAGGGGGGCAUGGCGGGCCAAAAGGCAAAUUUUGCAUUCAAAAACAGAAAUGCCUGUUUCCAUUUAGGGCCGAGGGUCUCUGGACUUCAGGGUGGGGCCUUUGCCAGGGAACCACCCUCUUCUACCCAGUAUUUCCCUGUCUCCUAUCCAUAUCAAUGAGGCUUUUCCUGUUUUCUAAAAUGCUUCAGUUAUUCACUAGUCUAGAAGUUAAAAUCAUUAGAGUUGUUGCUUGUUAACCUACUCUAUGGAUCCUCUCUCUUGUCUUGAGAUCAGAAACCAUGGCUUUUCACUAUGAAUCCCCAGACCUGGCAAAGUCCUUGCCCUACAGAGGUGACUGUUUUCCAAAAAUAGAAACAGCAGUAUUUCCAGUUUCACAUGUUUUUCCACAAACUUUCCAUUUCCCAUCAUGAGGCAGAAUCUAUUCGUCUUCUCCAGAGACUCAGGAUUGGGGAAGGGCUGACUCCGUGACUGUCUUGAUAAUUGGAAUGCUACAGAUUGCUUGACUUCCAAGGCUAUGUUAUAAAAAGCAAUUAGGCUUCUGCCUGCAGCUCUCUCCCUAGGGAUGUUCACCCUUGAAACCAGCCACUGGGUUAUGAGGAAGCCUCAACUAGCUCAUGUGGAGGGUGAAAGAUGCCCCCAGCCAACAGCCAGCUUCACCCACCAGGAUAGAUGAGUGAAUUAAUGAGCCUUCAGUUGAUCCCAUCCUCCAGUUCUCAAGUCUUCCAGCUGAAUCCUCAGACAUUGCAGAGCAGAGACGGGGUAUCCUUGGUGUGCCAUGGCCAAGUCUUAACCCACACAGUUGAGUCU